GAUGAACGCUGGCGGCGUGCCUAAUACAUGCAAGUCGAGCGAACAGACGAGGAGCUUGCUCCUCUGACGUUAGCGGCGGACGGGUGAGUAACACGUGGAUAACCUACCUAUAAGACUGGGAUAACUUCGGGAAACCGGAGCUAAUACCGAAUAAUAUAUUGAGCCGCAUGGUUCAAUAGUGAAAGACGGUUUUGCUGUCACUUAUAGAUGGAUCCGCGCCGCAUUAGCUAGUUGGUAAGGUAACGGCUUACCAAGGCAACGAUGCGUAGCCGACCUGAGAGGGUGAUCGGCCACACUGGAACUGAGACACGGUCCAGACUCCUACGGGAGGCAGCAGUAGGGAAUCUUCCGCAAUGGGCGAAAGCCUGACGGAGCAACGCCGCGUGAGUGAUGAAGGUCUUCGGAUCGUAAAACUCUGUUAUUAGGGAAGAACAAAUGUGUAAGUAACUAUGCACGUCUUGACGGUACCUAAUCAGAAAGCCACGGCUAACUACGUG
RNAcentral lists this ribosomal RNA (497 nucleotides) under uncultured bacterium. RNAcentral describes it as "partial 16S ribosomal RNA". It matches the Rfam family "Bacterial small subunit ribosomal RNA", at positions 28 to 507 of the family's 1533-position model. The record is from RNAcentral.